CUUUUUUUUUGACAGGAGAGUGGAACCGGUUCUCGUCUCACAAGCUGCAUCAACAAAACUCAAUCAUGAUUGCUCACAGCACAUGCUCAUGAAUAUAUAAAUAUAAUCACAAGAACUCAAUGUCAAUCACCCCAAACAACUACAGUUACAAUCCUAAUUAAAGGAAAGCUAUGUCGGUCUGUAUACUCCGUAGUUUUUGCAGAUAAUGACAA
This 212-nucleotide long non-coding RNA is filed under the name Capsella rubella. RNAcentral's name for it is "long non-coding RNA (CRUB_LNC003817)". Lineage: Eukaryota; Viridiplantae; Streptophyta; Magnoliopsida; Brassicales; Brassicaceae. The record is from RNAcentral.